UGGGAACAACGGACGGAACACCAGUGCAAUCAGUUUCACAUUAUUUUGCGAAUGACAAUAAGGAGCAUGGCGGAAGGAGAUUGCAUCACCAGUGGCAUUGACAAAGAGUCGAAUUACCAAACGCUUGCGCUUGCUGGGAUUUACCCACGUUAUGACUCAAUCAGACAAAUUCGGGUUGUCCCGAUUUUACUCUAUCAGACGACUGCCAUCGGAUCUUGCUGUGUCUCAGGCAGACGGCGACACCAACACACCUCGACUUCUACGAUCACUUGGCUUUAUCCCCUCAAAUCACUUUUGGAAAAAAGCGGAACCAGAAAAAGUGUCACCGGCCAACGUGACCGGAUACACUCGUGACCGUGGCGACGACAACAGCGAUGCGCUGCGGAAAUGGCGCUCGGUAGAGGAAGUUCCUUCGAGCAUUGCUUGAGGUCACGGGGGAAGUAGCUUCAGCAGGGAUACCUAGACUUCCCUUUCCCCAGCCACUUCUUCCAGCUCUUCCGGAGGGAUCCCGAGGCGUUCCCACGCCAGCCCAGAGAAUCCGAAUCCGAUUUAAUGGCCAAGUGUAAAAAACGCACAGGGAAUUUUUCUCCAGCAGUCGGAGCUGCAGAACUGCAUUCGCCCGCCUGAUGUGGAUGCGCUAAAGAAGGACGUAAUGGAACUACCGGACGCUGCAGAAGGUAAAGUAUUGUAAUUUCUUGAAAAUAAUGCACAAAUUUUUCCAAGAAUAUUUUCAAAAAGUUAGUAGAGCGCAUUAUAUUUAGGUAUGGAUGAAAAAUAAAAAAUACAAUCAGAUUUUAUAGUUGUAUAUGGGUACAUAGAGUGGUAAAAAAAUGGUAUACAUAUACAUUUCGAUAUGAUAUUCGAUGUCUUCUGUUACACAUUUAUAUUUAUUACGGUAAUGCAUUUGACGCCAUCAUUGAGCAUUUAUUUGAGUUGGUUGAGGGAUUCAGUUCUGACAAUUACAGGGACCGGGACAAACGUGUCCUGCGGCCCGUCCCGAGAUUAUAUUACGGCUACAUCAGCACGUGCACAACGAUUAUUAUUAAUGACUGUUAUACAGACGUAUUUUUUAUACACAAUACAAGUACAAAGCUAACAAAAUAUAAACACAGAUAGUUCCCAAUAUUUUGAGCAUAUGGGCAGCAGCAAAUUAGUGGUGCGCAUUGUACAUUGGUAGAAGGGUUUUCCUGAUUUUUUUUUUUUUUUUUUCGGUCAACUUUGGGGGUGCGUAUUAUAUUUUAGGACGCAUUAUACUCGAGAAAUUACAGUAACAUUUUUAGAGUCAUCGUUAAUAUAUUUAUUAUGGACUUGCAACAAAGUCAAAGUAUCGCUUCGAAGAGUCUUGUUCACAGGACGAGCUCCUACACAGAUGCAACUUCCUACAAGUGGCCAAGGACAACUCCAUCAUAACCAAAGAAUGUGCUAAAUCAUCAUCGAACGAUGUGCCACAUCAUCAUCCGAGAAUGCACCUUUGUUCAUUUCAUCUGCUCACAAAAGAGUCCGUGAGAGGCUGGUUCAGAACGUGUUUGGAGACUGUAACUGGCCUGUCUCUCACGUCCUCCUGAUCAGAAGAAAGACGACUUCCUGUCCGUUAUUUGUGCAACUAUUCCGGCAAGUUAGGUGAUAAACCUAACAAACAUUUGCAUAAUUGUCUUCCAGGCGAUGACGUGAAAGGCGACACAAAUGGCUUGAACGGGCGGAACUUAUUACAACGCUUGGAUCACGUAAUUUUGUGUUUAAGCGCUUAAUGCUCCUUGGUUUUAACGGUUCAAAGCUCGACCCCCCCCCCCCCCCACCCACCUAAAGCAAAACAGGCAGAGUGAUUCCUUGCUUGGAAACCCGAGCAGCGCCACCUACAACUUUCCCCGAAAUGUGUCGGGCCGUUCCGUUCGAGUAGUUCAAUCCUCGCUGCUUUUUCUUUACCUUUCCUGAAGAUUUUCCUGCUCUUGUUCGCCAGCAGCUGGAGACACGACAGCG
Long non-coding RNA from Syngnathoides biaculeatus (alligator pipefish), 1977 nucleotides. RefSeq lists it as uncharacterized. The transcript has 3 exons. Lineage: Eukaryota; Metazoa; Chordata; Actinopteri; Syngnathiformes; Syngnathidae. The record is from RefSeq and is a predicted model, not a curated record.